UCCAUCUAAAACCAGGUGCGGUCGCGGCCUCUAGGUGAUAACCUGGGUGGUUUCGCGCCGCAUUCCUGCACCCUUUUUUUACGAGCACCUUUGUUCUCCUUCGGCGGGGCAACCUGCCGCUGGAACUUGAUAAAACCUUUUUUUGCAUCUAGCAUUACCUGUUCUGAUACAAAUAAUCGUUA
Molecule: unclassified non-coding RNA, 182 nt
Filed under: soil metagenome
Description: partial internal transcribed spacer 1
Source: RNAcentral